Molecule: ribosomal RNA, 127 nt
Filed under: Streptomyces coryli
Lineage: Bacteria; Bacillati; Actinomycetota; Actinomycetes; Kitasatosporales; Streptomycetaceae
Also listed under: 2 other names
Description: partial 16S ribosomal RNA
Rfam family: Bacterial small subunit ribosomal RNA
Source: RNAcentral
CAUUCACGGAGAGUUUGAUCCUGGCUCAGGACGAACGCUGGCGGCGUGCUUAACACAUGCAAGUCGAACGAUGAAGCCCUUCGGGGUGGAUUAGUGGCGAACGGGUGAGUAACACGUGGGCAAUCUG